UGAGUAACCUGCCCUUAACUCUGGGAUAAGCCUGGGAAACUGGGUCUAAUACCGGAUAUGACUCCUCAUCGCAUGGUGGGGGGUGGAAAGCUUUUUUGUGGUUUUGGAUCGACUCGCGGCCUAUCAGCUUGUUGGUGAGGUAAUGGCUCACCAAGGCUUCGACGGGUAGCCGGCCUGAGAGGGCGACCGGCCACACUGGGACUGAGAUACGGCCCGGACUCCUACGGGAGGCAG
Molecule: ribosomal RNA, 234 nt
Filed under: uncultured bacterium
Lineage: Bacteria
Description: partial 16S ribosomal RNA
Rfam family: Bacterial small subunit ribosomal RNA
Source: RNAcentral